GGACGAACGCUGGCGGCGUGCUUAACACAUGCAAGUCGAGCGGUAAGGCCCUUCGGGGUACACGAGCGGCGAACGGGUGAGUAACACGUGGGUGAUCUGCCUCGUACUCUGGGAUAAGCCUGGGAAACUGGGUCUAAUACCGGAUAUGACCAUGGGAUGCAUGUCUUGUGGUGGAAAGAUUUAUCGGUGCGAGAUGGGCCCGCGGCCUAUCAGCUUGUUGGUGGGGUAAUGGCCUACCAAGGCGACGACGGGUAGCCGACCUGAGAGGGUGACCGGCCACACUGGGACUGAGACACGGCCCAGACUCCUACGGGAGGCAGCAGUGGGGAAUAUUGCACAAUGGGCGGAAGCCUGAUGCAGCGACGCCGCGUGCGGGAUGACGGCCUUCGGGUUGUAAACCGCUUUCGACAGGGACGAAGCGYAAGUGACGGUACCUGUAGAAGAAGCACCGGCCAACUAC
RNAcentral lists this ribosomal RNA (460 nucleotides) under Nocardiaceae bacterium 'ARUP UnID 459'. Its description in RNAcentral is "bacterial SSU rRNA". It matches the Rfam family "Bacterial small subunit ribosomal RNA", at positions 27 to 504 of the family's 1533-position model. Lineage: Bacteria; Bacillati; Actinomycetota; Actinomycetes; Mycobacteriales; Nocardiaceae. The record is from RNAcentral.